GGACCCCUCAAAGAUCAUGUUUGGAUACGCUUCUGCUAGCUAUGCUUGAAUUAUAAUCUAAGUGAAAGAUUUUCUCACUUCUCACUUUCCACUUCUCGUAGUUCAAAUCUCUAUAGUGGCUUACCACGUAAGAAAGAAUCGGUAGAAAUAAGCAAAGCGUUUAGCGGGAUUCUCACUUAUUUCCACCGAUAAGCCACUUAUAAGCGGAAACAAACGGGGCCAAAGAAGCCUCGUGUACUCUUGUCAACAACAACAACAACAACAUAGCCUUUCAGUCCCAAACAAGUUGGGGUAGGCUAGAGUUGAAACCCAACAAGAGCCACAAAUCAAGGUUCGGGCACAUAAAUAGUUAUUUUCCAAGCACUCCUAUUCAGGGUUAAAUCUUUGGGUAUAUUCCAUCCCUUCAAAUCUCCUUUUAUUGCCUCUUCCAUGUCAAUUUUGGUGUUCCUCUGCCUCUCUUCACAUU
This 466-nucleotide long non-coding RNA is filed under the name Setaria viridis. RNAcentral describes it as "long non-coding RNA (SVIR_LNC010488)". The record is from RNAcentral. Lineage: Eukaryota; Viridiplantae; Streptophyta; Magnoliopsida; Poales; Poaceae.